RNAcentral lists this ribosomal RNA (253 nucleotides) under uncultured bacterium. RNAcentral's name for it is "partial 16S ribosomal RNA". It matches the Rfam family "Bacterial small subunit ribosomal RNA", at positions 524 to 776 of the family's 1533-position model. The record is from RNAcentral.
UACGUAGGGUGCAAGCGUUGUCCGGAAUUAUUGGGCGUAAAGAGCUUGUAGGCGGUUUGUCGCGUCUGCUGUGAAAUUUCGGGGCUCAACCCCGAACUUGCAGUGGGUACGGGCAGACUAGAGUGUGGUAGGGGAGACUGGAAUUCCUGGUGUAGCGGUGAAAUGCGCAGAUAUCAGGGGGAACACCGAUGGCGAAGGCAGGUCUCUGGGCCAUAACUGACGCUGAGAAGCGAAAGCAUGGGGAGCGAACAGG